This 460-nucleotide ribosomal RNA is filed under the name uncultured bacterium. RNAcentral's name for it is "partial 16S ribosomal RNA". It matches the Rfam family "Bacterial small subunit ribosomal RNA", at positions 338 to 795 of the family's 1533-position model. The record is from RNAcentral.
CCUACGGGGUGCUGCAGUGAGGAAUAUUGGUCAAUGGGCGGGAGCCUGAAGCAGCCAAGUCGCGUGAGGGAAGACGGUCCUAUGGAUUGUAAACCUCUUUAGGCGGGGAGCAAUGCCGGGCACGCGUGCCCGGAGGGAGAGUACCCGCCGAAUAAGCAUCGGCUAACUCCGUGCCAGCAGCCGCGGUAAUACGGAGGAUGCGAGCGUUAUCCGGAUUUAGUGGGUGUAAGGGGUGCGUAGCCGGAUUUUUAAGUCAGCGGUAAAAUGUCGGGGCCCAACCCGGGCCGGCCGUUGAAACUGGGGAUCUUGAGUGCGCGAGAGGUAUGCGGAAUGCGUGGUGUAGCGGUGAAAUGCGUAGAUAUCACGCAGAACUCCGAUUGCGAAGGCAGCAUACCGGCGCCCGACUGACGCUGAGGCACGAAAGCGUGGGGAUCGAACAGGAUUAGAUACCCCAGUAGUC